CAGGGAAUCUUGCGCAAUGGACGGGAGUCCGACGCAGCGACGCCGCGUGGGUGAAGACGGCCUUCUGGUUGUAAAGCCCUUUUUCUGGGGGAAGAGAGAGGACGGUACUCCAGGAAUAAGUGUCGGCUAACUACGUGCCAGCAGCCGCGGUAAUACGUAGGACACGAGCGUUAUCCGGAUUUACUGGGCGUAAAGCGCCUGUAGGCGGUUCUUCAAGUCGUUUGUGAAAGCCCUGGGCCCAACCUGGGGAGGCCAAGCGAUACUGGAGGACUUGAGGGUGACAGAGGGGAGUGGAAUUUCCGGUGUAGCGGUAAAAUGCGCAGAUAUCGGGAGGAACACCAGUGGCGAAGGCGGCUCCCUGGGUCACCCCUGACGCUGAGAGGCGAAAGCUAGGGGAGCAAACAG
Molecule: ribosomal RNA, 405 nt
Filed under: uncultured bacterium
Lineage: Bacteria
Description: bacterial SSU rRNA
Rfam family: Bacterial small subunit ribosomal RNA
Source: RNAcentral